Molecule: ribosomal RNA, 253 nt
Filed under: uncultured Flavobacteriaceae bacterium
Lineage: Bacteria; Pseudomonadati; Bacteroidota; Flavobacteriia; Flavobacteriales; Flavobacteriaceae
Description: partial 16S ribosomal RNA
Rfam family: Bacterial small subunit ribosomal RNA
Source: RNAcentral
UACGGAGGAUCCAAGCGUUAUCCGGAAUCAUUGGGUUUAAAGGGUCCGUAGGCGGCCUUAUAAGUCAGCGGUGAAAGUUUUUGGCUUAACCAAAAAAUUGCCGUUGAUACUGUGAGGCUUGAAUAUUUGUGAAGUAACUAGAAUAUGUAGUGUAGCGGUGAAAUGCUUAGAUAUUACAUGGAAUACCAAUUGCGAAGGCAGGUUACUAACAAAUUAUUGACGCUGAUGGACGAAAGCGUGGGUAGCGAACAGG